CUAUCGUAAUGCAAUUCGCUCUCGAACUUAGCGUUGCAAGCCUGAUCCAAGUGGACCAAGAAAUGGCCCGUACCAUUGAUUGUGAAAUCUUUAACGCCCUUAGGGAAUAGGCCCAUGGGCAGCCCAUGGUCCUUAAGAACAUCGUAGACUAAUGAAUCCUCCUCCCAUGGAUUGACACCUGGGAUUGAGAUUGCGAGAUAGAGAAUAAUAAGUGAAAGCAAAGGCAAGAAACGAACCAUGUUUUUGCCCUUUUCUUCUGUUUUGGUGUACCUGUGCGCGCGUUAGAGCAUGAAUUUAAUGGUGCAAGAUCAGGAAACUCUGUUUGUUUCUGGCGGUGGUGGUGUGAUGAGCUGACGCCUGACGCCUGACGCCCUUUUUAUGUUACAGUGAGGUGAGAUUAGGGAUAGGGUUUAGGGAUUGUUCAUCACAGAAAUG
RNAcentral lists this unclassified non-coding RNA (435 nucleotides) under Hevea brasiliensis (rubber tree). The record is from RNAcentral. Lineage: Eukaryota; Viridiplantae; Streptophyta; Magnoliopsida; Malpighiales; Euphorbiaceae.